This 154-nucleotide small RNA is filed under the name Butyrivibrio hungatei. RNAcentral's name for it is "Clostridiales-1 RNA". It matches the Rfam family "Clostridiales-1 RNA". The record is from RNAcentral. Lineage: Bacteria; Bacillati; Bacillota; Clostridia; Lachnospirales; Lachnospiraceae.
GUGUCGAAAGUCAAAAAUGCGUACAUGCUUGCAUGUUAAGCAUUUUGACUUUAUGACCCGAACAAAUAUGAGGAAUAAGCAAUUUACGUAGUAAAUUAGCGGUUUCCGAAUAUUUGUAGAAUUGCGGGAAUGACGUAGUCAUGGAGCAAUUCGU